Molecule: long non-coding RNA, 502 nt
Filed under: Androctonus crassicauda
Lineage: Eukaryota; Metazoa; Arthropoda; Arachnida; Scorpiones; Buthidae
Source: RNAcentral
AAAAUAGUAAAUAAUAAAAUUUUCCAAUUUUAAAUAUGAAAAAGCAGCUGUUUUUAAUAAAAUUUUCAUACUAUAUUAUAAUGUAGUGAAUGUUACUAAUGAUAACAAAAACAAAAUGCUAUAAUAAUUAUUGAAAUACAAUAUGAUUGUAUAUAUACAUUGUAUUAUGAUAACAUGCUUCUAUAAUUCGGUGUCCGAUAAUUGUAACGUAUUCGAUCCUUCAUAUAAAGCUCGUAAUGUACUGAUGAGGGACUCUUAUAGUAGUCCAAAAACGUUUUACAAUAAUAAACGUUGUGAAAAACUUGCUAGUAGUGCUGUUAUUGAAUCUAGAUAUUGUAUUGUGAUAAUUAUUAUGUAGUUAUUGUAUAAGAAUAAAGGUAUAAUAUUUUAAUUUUACCAUAACAAUAUAUGUGCAAGUCAUAUUUACAUAAUAUUAUAUAUAAAUAUGUCUUGUACAAAAUCUGACUUAUAGAAUAUUUAACUUCUGAAAAAUAUGCAUAAG